This is an RNA transcript of Cornus florida, 1440 nucleotides long. It is a transcript of the gene named probable inositol transporter 2, with no coding region annotated. NCBI's taxonomy places the organism in Eukaryota, Viridiplantae, Streptophyta, Magnoliopsida, Cornales, Cornaceae. The record is from RefSeq and is a predicted model, not a curated record. The transcript has 2 exons.
UCUGAUCUCAUCUCAUCUCAUCUCUCUCUCUCUGUCGUUUCUCUUUCCGUCCCUCUUGACCAAACACAGCCUUAUGAAUAAAUAUUUGACAAAAAAAUGUGCUCCAUAGCCGUCCACCCAAAAUGCACGGACGGUGAAGAGAUCGGACGGUGAGGACGGGCUGGUUCGGGCAAGGUGGUGCCGGCGAUGGGCUGUGGGGAGGACUUAGCCGUGAUGGUCUGGUUCGUGACGAGAUGGCAGCGGCGGUGGACUCGGCCGUGGAUGAUGGCGAAGGCGGCUUGUGAACCCCGACGUGGAGAUGGGCUGGCUGUGACGGCGAUGGGCUGGUUGUGGCUUCGGCUGUGAGCUUGCGGAUGAUGGCAGCGAGCUCUCUCAAACCCUGUACUCUCUCUCUCUAACCUCUUUAUGCUCCAAGCAAACAACGGCAAGAAUGGAAUACGCCGGAAAAGAUGGAGUUCUCUCUACCCAUUCACCAUCAUCUCCACACACUAUGCACCACCCUUGUUAUUUUUUCUACAAUUUUUUUUUCACCCAAACCCUAGCUCCAUCUAUCUUCAAAUUGACUCAAUAAUCUACAUUACACUAACUGAAAUAUUGGGGCUUUGAUUCUAAUAAUCAAAUGUGACGGCUCCAGAUGCAUCGUCUUGGAAUUGUAUGACGUGCUUGAAAGCAUCCUCGGAUGGUGCAUUUUGUGCUAAUGGAGUGAAUCAAGUUCGUUCUCCAUACUCGCCCCUUUGGUCAUUUAGAAAUCUAUUUCAACCUUUCAUGCGUUAUCAAUCAACAUAGUACUUUGUAUCAUCCGUGGGCGUGCUUAGCUUCAAAUGAUGUUACCAAAAGAACAUGUGGUGCAGAAAACCGUACCUGGUAUACAAAUGGUUGUCCAAGCAAAUUUCGGAUUUUUGCAGUUCUUGUUAUGGGAACUGCACCUUGGAUUGUGAACUCAGAGAUAUACCCAUUGAAAUACCGAGGCAUUUGUAGAGGAAUCGCUGCAGUUUCUAACUGGAUUUCCAAUCUCAUCGUAAGUGAGACGUUCUUGACAUUAACUGAGGCGAUUGGUUCAGCUGGCACAUUUCUCCUGUUUGCCGGAUCCAUAUGUGACUCAAGGAGGGUAAUAGAUUGCGCCUGUGGAUGGCUCGAAUGAGGGUGACAGCGGGACGGUGAUAAGCUCGGCUGUGGGCUGUGGCGGCUUGAUGGACGGCGGGAAAGAAGGGCUCACAGGGAAUGAAUGGGAGGAAUGGAAAUUUUGGAAGAGGGAUUUUUUGAAUGAGGGUAAUUUGGUCAUUUUACGUUAUCAAAGGGUAAACAUAUACUUUCAUCAUGUUUGAGGUGUUUUUGUUAAAAAAUGAAUUAAGUUAUAUAUGGCUGUUAAUAUGGCAAACCUUUGUAAUUAAUCAUCUUCUUCUUCUUCUUCUUCUUCUUCUUUUUUUUUUUUUUUUUUUU